GAAUAUUGGGCAAUGGGCGCAAGCCUGACCCAGCCAUGCCGCGUGCAGGAAGACGGCCUUCUGGGUUGUAAACUGCUUUUGAACGGGAACAAAAGUCUCUUGCGAGAGGUAAUGAGUGUACCGUUAGAAUAAGCACCGGCUAACUCCGUUCCAGCAGCCGCGGUAAUACGGAGGGUGCAAGCGUUGUCCGGAUUUAUUGGGUUUAAAGGGUGCGUAGGCGGCCAGAUAAGUCAGUGGUGAAAUCCUAUAGCUUAACUAUAGCAUUGCCAUUGAUACUGUUUGGCUUGAGUACAGACGAGGUAGGCGGAAUUGAUAGUGUAGCGGUGAAAUGCAUAGAUACUAUCAAGAACACCGAUUGCGAAGGCAGCUUACUAGGCUGUAACUGACGCUGAGGCACGAAAGCGUGGGGAUCAAAC
This 416-nucleotide ribosomal RNA is filed under the name uncultured bacterium. RNAcentral's name for it is "bacterial SSU rRNA". It matches the Rfam family "Bacterial small subunit ribosomal RNA", at positions 359 to 773 of the family's 1533-position model. The record is from RNAcentral.